This 831-nucleotide ribosomal RNA is filed under the name Triticum aestivum (bread wheat). RNAcentral's name for it is "partial small subunit ribosomal RNA". Lineage: Eukaryota; Viridiplantae; Streptophyta; Magnoliopsida; Poales; Poaceae. The record is from RNAcentral.
AUGUUUACGUUUUACCAAGACUCGCGGAAGAGGAAGGCGAUUGAUAAUGGGCCCGGGAUGUUCGAUAAAGACUUGGUUGUAGUGGAGAACUUCGUGCCCAGCAAGAGAAUUGAGGAUUAUGCGUUCAACAAUAUCCCGAUCUGGGUGAGGGUGUAUAACCUGCCGCUGGGUAUGAUGAAUGUGGAGUUGACGGAGGAUAUUGGCAAUAUAAUCGGGCAAUUUGUGGAGGCAGACACUGAGGCGGAUGGCACUGCUAUUGGGAAGUUUUUGAGGAUCAAGAUUAGGAUGAGAAUUUAUAAGCCGCUGAUGAGGGGGUUUACGUUGGAAGGAGAGGAGGAGGAAGCUGGUAAAGGAAAGAUGAAGGAGAAGGACGGAGGCGGUGGGGAAGAGGAGGAGAAUGGGUGGUGCCGGUUUGAGUAUGCGUUUUUUCUGGAUUUCUGCUAUACCUGCGGGAUCAUAGGCCAUGGUGAGAAGGACUGUUCGACUAUCCUGGAGAAAGGGGGGAAAUCACAAUUUGGGAGGUGGCUUAAAGCAGACAUGGAUCAGCGGCGGAGCUCCCAUGAUAAUGGAGGAUGGAGGACUAGGGGUAGGGGGUCGGGAGACAGCAGGAGCCAUGGUUUUAGCAGAUCGGCGGGGAGGUCCGGGAGUGGUAGUGACAGUCUUUCUUCGCGCAAGGAAGGAUCAUGUGACUCAGGCUCCAAAGGGCGGGUAGAGGAGAAGGGAGAGGAGGUAACGAGCCCAGCAAAGACUAACAAGACUGAUCGGAGGGCUGGCACACCGCGGCAGCUCAAACUGGGGGAUAGUGCCAUGGAGAUGGCGAGGACAGUAUGA